UUAAAGGUAAAGCCGCGAAUAGCUCAUUACAACAGCCUCUGUUUAUUAGAUCUUUCUUUCCUACUUGGAUAACUGUGGCAAUUCUAGAGCUAAUACAUGCAACAAAGCCCUGACCGUAAGGAAGGGGUGCACUUAUUAGAACAAAACCAAUCGAGCCUCUGGCUCGUCAAUUGGUGAAUCUGAAUAAUUUUGCCGAUCGAACGGUCUUUGAACCGUCGACGUAUCUUUCAAAUGUCUGCCUUAUCAACUUUCGAUGGUAGUAUAUAGGACUACCAUUGUGAUAACGGGUAACGGAGAAUUAGGGUUCGACUCCGGAGAGGGAGCCUGAGAAACGGCUACCACAUCCAAGGAAGGCAGCAGGCACGCAAAUUACCCACUCCCGGCAAGGGGAGGUAGUGACGAAAAAUAACGAGGCAGUUCUCUACGAGGCCUGUCAUCGGAAUGAAUACAAUUUAAAUCCUUUAAUGAGGAUCUAUUGGAGGGCAAGUCUGGUGCCAGCAGCCGCGGUAAUUCCAGCUCCAAUAGCGUAUAUUAAAGUUGUUGCGGUUAAAAAGCUCGUAGUUGGAUCUGUGGUCAUGUGAAGUGGUCGCCCAGUGGGUUGUUACUGCUUACACAGGCCAAGUUUUUCUAGCGCACUCUUGGUGCUCUUAAAUGAGUGUCUUGAGUAGCUAGUAUGUUUACUUUGAAAAAAUUAGAGUGCUUAAAGCAGACGCUUGUUUGAAUAGUGGUGCAUGGAAUAAUGGAAUAGGACCUUGAGUCCAUUUUGUUGGUUUACAGUCUCGAGGUAAUGAUUAAGAGGGACAGACGGGGGCAUUCGUAUUGCGACGUUAGAGGUGAAAUUCUUGGAUCGUCGC
This 854-nucleotide ribosomal RNA is filed under the name Ironus longicaudatus. RNAcentral describes it as "SSU rRNA". It matches the Rfam family "Eukaryotic small subunit ribosomal RNA", at positions 75 to 931 of the family's 1831-position model. Lineage: Eukaryota; Metazoa; Nematoda; Enoplea; Enoplida; Ironidae. The record is from RNAcentral.